GAGUUUGAUCAUGGCUCAGAAUCAACGCUGGCGGCGUGCCUAACACAUGCAAGUCGAACGAGAAAGUGGAGCAAUCCAUGAGUAAAGUGGCGCACGGGUGAGUAACACGUGACUAACCUACCCUUGAGUGGGGAAUAACUUCGGGAAACCGAGGCUAAUACCGCAUAACACCUACGGGUCAAAGGAGCAAUUCGCUUAAGGAGGGGGUCGCGGCAGAUUAGUUAGUUGGCGGGGUAAUGGCCCACCAAGACGGUGAUCUGUAUCCGGCCUGAGAGGGCGCACGGACACACUGGAACUGAAACACGGUCCAGACUCCUACGGGAGGCAGCAGUGGGGAAUUUUGCGCAAUGGGGGAAACCCUGACGCAGCAACGCCGCGUGGAGGAUGAAGUCCCUUGGGACGUAAACUCCUUUCGAUCGGGACGAUUAUGACGGUACCGGAAGAAGAAGCCCCGGCUAACUUCGUGCCAGCAGCCGCGGUAAUACG
This 486-nucleotide ribosomal RNA is filed under the name uncultured eubacterium WR149. RNAcentral describes it as "bacterial SSU rRNA". It matches the Rfam family "Bacterial small subunit ribosomal RNA", at positions 9 to 527 of the family's 1533-position model. The record is from RNAcentral.